This 695-nucleotide ribosomal RNA is filed under the name uncultured bacterium. RNAcentral's name for it is "bacterial SSU rRNA". It matches the Rfam family "Bacterial small subunit ribosomal RNA", at positions 32 to 715 of the family's 1533-position model. The record is from RNAcentral.
AACGCUAGCUACAGGCUUAACACAUGCAAGUCGAGGGGCAGCAUUAUCGAAGCUUGCUUUGAUAGAUGGCGACCGGCGCACGGGUGAGCAACGCGUAUCCAACCUUCCCCAUAGUCAGGAAUAGCCCGGCGAAAGUCGAAUUAAUGCCUGAUGUUUUCCACGGACGGCAUCCGAUGUGGAACAAAGAUUGAUCGCUAUGGGAUGGGGAUGCGUCUGAUUAGCUUGUUGGCGGGGUAACGGCCCACCAAGGCAACGAUCAGUAGGGGUUCUGAGAGGAAGGUCCCCCACAUUGGAACUGAGACACGGUCCAAACUCCUACGGGAGGCAGCAGUGAGGAAUAUUGGUCAAUGGGCGGAAGCCUGAACCAGCCAAGUAGCGUGAGGGAUGACUGCCCUAUGGGUUGUAAACCUCUUUUAUAAGGGAAUAAAAUACGGGACGUGUCCUGUUUUGCAUGUACCUUAUGAAUAAGGACCGGCUAAUUCCGUGCCAGCAGCCGCGGUAAUACGGAAGGUCCGGGCGUUAUCCGGAUUUAUUGGGUUUAAAGGGAGCGCAGGCGGUCUUAUAAGCGUGACGUGAAAUGCAGCGGCUCAACCGUAUGAUGUGCGUCGCGAACUGUGAGACUUGAGUGUAUUCGAUGUCAGCGGAAUUUGUGGUGUAGCGGUGAAAUGCUUAGAUAUCACGAAGAACUCCGAUUG